CAGCAGCCACGGUAAUACGUAGGUGGCAAGCGUUGUCCGGAAUUAUUGGGCGUAAAGGGCUCGCAGGCGGUUUCAUAAGUCUGAUGUGAAAGCCCCCGGCUCAACCGGGGAGGGUCAUUGGAAACUGGGAAACUUGAGUGCAGAAGAGGAGAGUGGAAUUCCACGUGUAGCGGUGAAAUGCGUGGAGAUGUGGAGGAACACCAGUGGCGAAGGCGACUCUCUGGUCUGUAACUGACGCUGAGGAGCGAAAGCGUGGGGAGCGAACAGGAUUAGAUACCCCGGUAGUCCCUGUCUCUUAUAC
RNAcentral lists this ribosomal RNA (301 nucleotides) under uncultured bacterium. RNAcentral describes it as "partial 16S ribosomal RNA". It matches the Rfam family "Bacterial small subunit ribosomal RNA", at positions 509 to 807 of the family's 1533-position model. The record is from RNAcentral.